UGUACUCAGAAGGUUUUUAGUGUGACCUGCUCUUGGGCUCUCAGACAGCUUGGUUUAGGUCAUUCUUGAUGAUGAAGUCCAGAAUGAACAUGUUGCUUAAAGUGAUAUUGCUCUGGACACUUAUCUACAUCCAAGAAUGCAGGGGGCAGUACACAGUGACUCAGACUCCAUCAGUAUUACCUGCUGUUCCUGGACAAACAGUCACGCUGAACUGUAAAGUCAGCAGUAAUGUUUAUAACAACAACUAUCUGCACUGGUACCAUCAGGUAUCUGGAGAGCCUCCUAAACUCCUGAUUUACUCUGCUAGCACUCUCCAGUCAGGCACUCCAUCUCGAUUCAGUGGCAGUGGAUCUGGAUCUGCUUUCACUCUGACCAUCAGUGGAGUCCAGACUGAAGAUGCAGGAGAUUACUACUGUCAGAGUUUCCAUGCUACCAGUGUGUGGGUGUUCACACAGUGAUACAGAGCCGUACAAAAACCUCUCUCUGUAAGAAUACACAUGACUGCACUGCUGCAGCUGAGACUUUCAGCAGGUGUGAGACGGGUGCUCAGUAGAGUAGGACAUUACAUGUUUGUGUCUUCAGCAUCUCUGAUUACUACACUUUUUAUAAUGACAGAAAAAUACCUGCAAAAGUUUCCCCAAGUGAAAUUGAAUCAAUUGAUAUGAAUUUUGAUUGGUAGUUUAAAUACAGGAAAAAAAUAGAUACAUAUUUUUUGGCUAUGGUAAAUAUAUUUUCUAUAU
Molecule: non-coding RNA, 740 nt
Organism: Alosa sapidissima (American shad)
Lineage: Eukaryota; Metazoa; Chordata; Actinopteri; Clupeiformes; Clupeidae
Source: the annotation of a RefSeq genome assembly